AUGGUGCAAAGGGCGCAUGCUGGCGAUGUCCACAUCGGAUCAGCUACAAGACAAAACAAAGAGAUUUAUUUCGUCUCGAGAAAAAAGAGAGAAAGAGAUUGGCCAGCGAAGAGAGAAAGGGAUUGCCCCCCAGUCAAGAUCCCCCGAUUCCUCUCCCUCUCCCUUGUUGCCGCCGCCGCCACCGGUGACCUCCCCUCAGCCACGCCCUCCCCAACGGCGACCUCCCCUCCCCCUCGCACCAGAUCGAGCAGCAGGUCGGGCAGGGCAGAGUGGAGCGGGGAUGGGAGGAGAUGGCGGCAACGUCGUCCUCCUCGCCCAUCGGCGGGCGACACCUGUCAGAGUAGACCUAGGUCGCCGUUGUGGCUGCUGUCUCAGGCGAGAAGAGGAGUGGUCAUAUUAGGACGCGAGGAGGGGGAGCAGCCAACCAUGCUCAAGGCCGUCCGCGGUGGCCGCAAAUCGAGGCGGCGACUACAAUUCGAAGCUGCAGAAGACGGAGGCGAAGAUGUCGAGCAUGUGGCCCUGCGCACAAGAGAAUACACUUACUGCCAGAAAAGUUGUGCUCUGAAGGGGUGCGAGGACUGCUAG
This 585-nucleotide ribosomal RNA is filed under the name Triticum aestivum (bread wheat). Its description in RNAcentral is "partial small subunit ribosomal RNA". Lineage: Eukaryota; Viridiplantae; Streptophyta; Magnoliopsida; Poales; Poaceae. The record is from RNAcentral.